UACGUAGGGAGCAAGCGUUGUCCGGAAUCAUUGGGCGUAAAGCGCGCGUAGGUGGCUUCGUAAGUCCGUUGUGAAAGUCAAAGGCUCAACCUUUGAAAGCCGAUGGAUACUGCGGAGCUAGAGUACGGAAGAGGCGAGUGGAAUUCCUGGUGUAGCGGUGGAAUGCGCAGAUAUCAGGAGGAACACCAAUAGCGAAGGCAGCUCGCUGGGACGUUACUGACACUGAGGCGCGGAAGCGUGGGGAGCGAACAGG
Molecule: ribosomal RNA, 253 nt
Filed under: uncultured bacterium
Lineage: Bacteria
Description: partial 16S ribosomal RNA
Rfam family: Bacterial small subunit ribosomal RNA
Source: RNAcentral